UAGUCGGUCCCAAGGGUUGGGCUGUUCGCCCAUUAAAGCGGUACGCGAGCUGGGUUCAGAACGUCGUGAGACAGUUCGGUCCCUAUCCGUCGUGGGCGUAGGAAAUUUGAGAGGAGCUGUCCUUAGUACGAGAGGACCGGGAUGGACAUACCUCUGGUGUACCAGUUGUCGUGCCAACGGCAUAGCUGGGUAGCUAUGUGUGGACGGGAUAAGUGCUGAAAGCAUCUAAGCAUGAAGCCCCCCUCAAGAUGAGAUUUCCCAACUUCGGUUAUAAGAUCCCUCAAAGAUGAUGAGGUUAAUAGGUUCGAGGUGGAAGCAUGGUGACAUGUGGAGCUGACGAAUACUAAUCGAUCGAAGACUUAAUCAAAA
RNAcentral lists this ribosomal RNA (369 nucleotides) under Staphylococcus aureus. RNAcentral's name for it is "partial 23S ribosomal RNA". It matches the Rfam family "Bacterial large subunit ribosomal RNA", at positions 2556 to 2925 of the family's 2925-position model. The record is from RNAcentral. Lineage: Bacteria; Bacillati; Bacillota; Bacilli; Caryophanales; Staphylococcaceae.